CGUGUCAGGAUGAACGCUAGCGGCAGGCUUAACACAUGCAAGUCGAGGGGCAUCGGGAGUAGCAAUACUUGCCGGCGACCGGCGCGAGGGUGCGUAACGCGUGAGCAACAUGCCCGUAUCAGGGGGGAUAAUCCAUGGAAACGUGGUCUAAUACCCCAUAGUAAUUAUGUAAGGCAUCUUAUAUAAUUUAAAGCUUUGGUGGAUACGGAUUGGCUCGCGUGACAUUAGCUAGAUGGUAAGGUAACGGCUUACCAUGGCUACGAUGUCUAGGGGUUCUGAGAGGAAGGUCCCCCCACACUGGAACUGAGACACGGUCCAGACUCCUACGGGAGGCAGCAGUGAGGAAUAUUGGACAAUGGAUGGAAAUCUGAUCCAGCCAUGCCGCGUGCAAGGAAGACCGGCCCUAUGGGUUGUAAACUGCUUUUGUAUGGGAGCAAUAAGGGCUACGCGUAGUCCGAUGAGAGUACCAUACGAAUAAGCACCGGCUAACUCCGUGCCAGCAGCCGC
This 507-nucleotide ribosomal RNA is filed under the name uncultured bacterium. RNAcentral describes it as "bacterial SSU rRNA". It matches the Rfam family "Bacterial small subunit ribosomal RNA", at positions 20 to 518 of the family's 1533-position model. The record is from RNAcentral.